GCCGACGUAGCUCAACGGUAGAGCAAUCGCCUUGUAAGCGAUAGGUUGUGGGUUCAAUUCCCUCCGUCGGCUCCA
RNAcentral lists this transfer RNA (75 nucleotides) under Actinomycetota bacterium. Its description in RNAcentral is "tRNA-Thr". It matches the Rfam family "tRNA". Rfam says of the family: Transfer RNA (tRNA) molecules are approximately 80 nucleotides in length. Their secondary structure includes four short double-helical elements and three loops (D, anti-codon, and T loops). Further hydrogen bonds mediate the characteristic L-shaped molecular structure. tRNAs have two regions of fundamental functional importance: the anti-codon, which is responsible for specific mRNA codon recognition, and the 3' end, to which the tRNAs corresponding amino acid is attached (by aminoacyl-tRNA synthetases). tRNAs cope with the degeneracy of the genetic code in two manners: having more than one tRNA (with a specific anti-codon) for a particular amino acid; and 'wobble' base-pairing, i.e. permitting non-standard base-pairing at the 3rd anti-codon position. Lineage: Bacteria; Bacillati; Actinomycetota. The record is from RNAcentral.